RNAcentral lists this ribosomal RNA (366 nucleotides) under uncultured bacterium. RNAcentral describes it as "bacterial SSU rRNA". It matches the Rfam family "Bacterial small subunit ribosomal RNA", at positions 145 to 507 of the family's 1533-position model. The record is from RNAcentral.
AACCUUGCGAAAGUAAGACUAAUGCCCAAUGACAUUUAUAGAAGGCAUCUGAAAUGAAUUAAAGAUUUUAUCGGUGAUGGAUGGGGAUGCGUCUGAUUAGCUCGUUGGCGGGGUAACGGCCCACCAAGGCGACGAUCAGUAGGGGUUCUGAGAGGAAGGUCCCCCACAUUGGAACUGAGACACGGUCCAAACUCCUACGGGAGGCAGCAGUGAGGAAUAUUGGUCAAUGGGCGAGAGCCUGAACCAGCCAAGUAGCGUGCAGGAUGACGGCCCUAUGGGUUGUAAACUGUCUUUUAUAAGGGAAUAAAGUUAGUCUCGUGAGACUUUUUGCAUGUACCUUAUGAAUAAGGACCGGCUAAUUCCGUG